This 987-nucleotide ribosomal RNA is filed under the name uncultured bacterium. RNAcentral describes it as "bacterial SSU rRNA". It matches the Rfam family "Bacterial small subunit ribosomal RNA", at positions 1 to 999 of the family's 1533-position model. The record is from RNAcentral.
UCGGGAUUCGAUUAGAGUUUGAUCAUGGUGAAGAGUUAGCUGGCGGCGGGCCUAACACAUGCAAGCGAACGAGAAAGCCCCUGCUUGCAGGGGCGAGUAAAGUGGCGCACGGGUGAGUAACGCGUGGUUAACUCAUCCUUGGGUUUGGGAUAACGUCCCGAAAGGGGCGCUAAUACCGGAUAAGACCACGGUGUCCACGGGCACUGGGGUAAAAGUGGGCCUCUACAUGUAAGCUCAUGCCUGAGGAUGAGACCGCGUCCCAUUAGCUUGUUGGUGAGGUAACGGCUCACCAAGGCCGCGAUGGGUAGCUGAUCUGAGAGGAUGAUCAGCCCCCCUGGGGACUGGAACACGGCCCAGACUCCUACGGGAGGCAGCAGUGAGGAAUCUUGCGCAAUGGGGGAACCCUGACGCAGCCACGCCGCGUGGGUGAAGAAGGCCUUCGGGUUGUAAAGCCCUGUCAGGUGGGAAGAACCGCAGUCUGGCCAAUACCUGGACUGCUUGACGGUACCACCAAAGGAAGCACCGGCUAACUCCGUGCCAGCAGCCGCGGUAAUACGGAGGGUGCAAGCGUUGUUCGGAAUUACUGGGCGUAAAGCGCGUGUAGGCGGACCGGUAAGUUGGGAGUGAAAGCCCUGGGCUCAACCCAGGAAGUGCUUCCAAUACUGCCGGCCUGAGUCCGGAGAGGUGGUGGAAUUCCCGGUGUAGAGGUGAAUUCGUAGAUAUCGGGAGGAACACCAGUGGCGAAGGCGACCACUGGACGAGAACUGACGCUGAGACGCGAAGCGUGGGGAGCAACAGAUAGAUACCCUGUAGUCACGCGUAACGUGUCACUAGGUGUACGGAUUGACCCCGCUGGCCGAGCUACGCAUAUGACCGCCUGGGAGUCCGCCGCAGUAAACUCAAGGAAUGACGGGGCCGCCAGCGUGGAGACUGUGUUAAUUCGACGCAACCGGCGAACCUUACUGGGUUUGAUACCUCUGAGCCUUG